GAUGAACGCUGGCGGCGUGCUUAACACAUGCAAGUCGAACGGAAAGGCCCAAGCUUGCUUGGGUACUCGAGUGGCGAACGGGUGAGUAACACGUGGGUGAUCUGCCCUGCACUUCGGGAUAAGCCUGGGAAACUGGGUCUAAUACCGGAUAGGACCACAUUUUGGAUGGUGUGGUGGAAAGUUUUUCGGUGUGGGAUGAGCUCGCGGCCUAUCAGCUUGUUGGUGGGGUAAUGGCCUACCAAGGCGUCGACGGGUAGCCGGCCUGGGAGGGUGUACGGCCACAUUGGGACUGAGAUACGGCCCAGACUCCUACGGGAGGCAGCAGUGGGGAAUAUUGCACAAUGGGCGCAAGCCUGAUGCAGCGACGCCGCGUGGGGGAUGACGGCCUUCGGGUUGUAAACUCCUUUCGCUAGGGACGAAGCGCAAGUGACGGUACCUGGAGAAGAAGCACCGGCUAACUACGUG
This 465-nucleotide ribosomal RNA is filed under the name uncultured bacterium. Its description in RNAcentral is "partial 16S ribosomal RNA". It matches the Rfam family "Bacterial small subunit ribosomal RNA", at positions 28 to 507 of the family's 1533-position model. The record is from RNAcentral.